GCGUCAGCAAGUUAAAAAAAAAAAAAAAGUGUAGUCCCAUAAAUGGGGAAAGGGGCGGCAGCUUCCGGAGGUUGCGCACGGCACCUCACCGGCCGGUAGAGGUAGGGGCGGGGCUUAAGGGCUGGGCGGGGUCUUCCGGCGCCCGAGCGGAGCGCGGCGGGUUACGUAAGGGCGGCGCGGAUGCGUUGGCUCUUGGGUUCCAGUUUUUCGCAGGUGCGGGUGUGGGCCUGCUAAUGGUUUCCUCGCUUUACUUCCCAAACACCUGGUUUCGAGCCCCCGCUGUUGCUCUGCCGCAGAGGCUUUUUUUUUUUUUUUUUUCGGUACUAAAGUCUUAACCCAUUGAAUCACUCGGAGAUUGAGGAGAGGGGAUGGGACAGUUCUGGCACGGCUGGGGAGCAACAGUCUAGCUAUACGGGUCCUUAGGGGCACUGUUGGGGACCUGAAGUUAUUUUGCACAACCUUUGCUCUCAGUGCAACAUUGUUUGGAGAUGGGGACGCUCCAAGAACUGCCCUAUGGGUCAUUUAUAUGACACCUGGAUUGCUCAGUUGUUGGGCAUCUGCCUUCGGCUCAGGUCACAAUCCUGGGAUCCUGGGAUUGAGCCCUGCGUAGGACUCCCUGCUCAGCGGGAAGCCUGCUUUUCCUUCUCCCACUCCCCUUGCUUGUGUUCCCUCUCUUACUGUCUCUCUGUCAAAUAAAUAAAAUCUUAAAAAAAAAAAAAAACAACAAAAGAUGAAAACAUAAAACCUUCUAGGUCUAUGUCUGUUGUCCCAAAUAACAAGAUGCAUUCUUCUUUAUGGUUGAGUAAUAUUCCAUUGUGGACAUAUACCACAAUUUUUUUAUCCAUUCAUCCAUUGAUGGACACUUAAGUUGUUUCUAUAUCUUAGCUAUUGUAAAUAAUGCUGCAAUGAACAUAUCGGUAUAUGUAGCUUUUUGAAUUAGUAUUUUCUCCAGGUAAAUACUCAAAAGUGAAAUUACUGGUUUGUAUGGCAUUCCUACUUUUAAUUUUCUGAGGAACUUCUACACUGUUUUCCAUAGUGGCUGCACCAAUUUACAUUCCUACCAACAGUGCACAUGCCAACACUUGUUAUUUCCUGUCUUUUUGUUUGUUUGUUUUAGUAUUUAUGUUCUUUUUCUUUCUUUUUUUUAGAAGGUUUAUUUUAUUUAUUUAUUUGACAGAGAGAGAUCACAAGUUGGCGAGAGGCAGGCAGAGAGAGAGGAGGAAGCAGGAUCCCUACAGAGCAGAGAGCCUGAUGCGGGUGGCUCGAUCCCAGGACCUUGGGAUCACGACCCGAGCCGAAGGCAGCGGCUCAAUCCACUGAGCCACCCAGGCGCCCCUGUUUUAGUAUUUAUGGUAGAAAUAGAUUGAUUUCCUGUCUUUUUGAUAUUAGUCUUUCUAACAGGUGUGAGGUAGUAUCUUAUUGUGGUUUUAAUUUGCAUUUCCCCAAUGAUUAGUGAUGUUGACUAUCUUUUCAUGUGCCUGUUGGCCAUCUGUAGGUCUUCUUUGGGAAAAUGUAUUCAGGUCCUUUGCCCAUUUUUAAAUUGGAUUAUGAUUUUUUUGGUACUGAGUAAUAUAAGUUCUUUAUAUCUUUUACAUAUUAACUCCUUAUCAGAUAUAGCAUUUGCAAAUAUCUUCUCCCACUCAGGAGGUUGCGUUAUCAUCUUGUUGAUGGUUUCCUUCAUUGUGCAAAAGCUUUUUACUUUCAUUUACUUCAUUUUUGCUUUUGUUUCUCUUGUCUGGGGGAAGAUAUCCAGGAAAAUAUUGCUUAGGCCAAUGUCCCAAGAAUUUACCGCCUCUACUUGUUUAGGAGUUUUAUGUUUAAAAACUCCUACAUUAAUCCAUUUAGAGUUUUUUGUGUGUGUAUGUUUUAAGAAAGUGGUCCAGUUUCAUCCUUUUGGAUUUAGCUGUCUGGUUUUCCCAACAUCAUUUAUUGAAAAGGAUCCUUUCCCCAUUGUAUAUUCUUCCUUCCUUUGCUGUAGAUUAAUUGACCAUAUAAGUGUAGGUUUAUUUCUGGGUUCCUCAUUCUGUUCAUUUGGAAACAUUUCUUCCUCUUUCAUUUUUUAUAAUAGUUUGAGAAGGAUGGGUAUUAACUCUUCUUUAAAUUUUUGGUAGAAUGCACCUGUGAAGCCAUCUGGUCUUGGACUUUUGCGUCCCGGGAAUUUUCUGAUUACACAUUCAAUUUCUUUACUAGUAAUUGGUCUGUUUAGAUUUUCUAUUUCUUCCUGAGUCAGUCUUGGAAAACUACGUUUCUAGGAAUUUAGCUAUUUCUUCUAGGUUGUCCAAUUUGUUGGUGUAUAAUUGUUCAUACUAGUCUCUUGUGGUAGUGUCUGUGGUAUUGGUUGUAACUUCUCUUUUAUUUGAGUCCUUUCUCUUUUUUUCUUAAUGAGUCCGGCUAACGGUUUAUCAAUUUUGUUUAUCUCUUCAAAGAAUUAGCACUUAGUUUCAUUGAUCUUUUUUAUUGUUUUUAAGUAUUUAUUUCUACUCUGAUCUUUAUUAUUUCCUUCCUUCCUGGGAAUUGGUAUUUUCUCAAAAAUAAACAAAGUGAGCCAGUCACUUUAAGGAAAACAACUAACAGCAUUUGUACCGAUGAUAAAAUUUGAGAUUUCAAGCAAAACUUUUAAUUUUGGUGAGCUUGACAGCUUCCCAAUGCUUAAAGAUUUGCUGAUGGGAUUGGUUGUGAUUCUUAAUAAAUGUGUUUUAAAAUUUAUUCCUUACUUUCCCUCUCUGUCUCUUUCUUUCUUUCUUUUUUUUAAAGAUUUUAUUUAUUUAUUUGACAGAGAGAGAAAGAUCACAAGUAGGCAGAGAAGCAGGGGGAAGCAGGCCGCCUCCUGAGCAGAGAGCCCAUUGCAGGGGGUCAAUCCCAGGACCCUGGGAUCAUGACCUGAGCUGAAGGCAGAGGCUUAACCCACUGAGCCACCCAGGCUCCCCCCUCUUUCUCUCUUUCUUUCACCCAGCAUGGGGCUUGAACUCACCACCUUGAGAUAAAGAGGUGUGUGCUCCUCGGAGGGAGCCAGCCUAGUGCCCCUUAAUCAAUUUUUUUAAAUUGGGUAAUGAAAUGUGUCAACAUUUGGAAUAUCCACAUAAUUGAAUGAACCAGUAUUUUCCAAAUGACCUAAUACAUGAUGUUUUAAAGUCAUGCUUGGAUAAAAGAUUCAUUCAAAUUGCAAGAUACGGGGUGCCUGGGUGGCUCGUGGGUUAAGCCUCUAGUUCAGGUCAUGAUCUCAGGGUCCUGGGAUCGAGCCCUGCAUUGGGCUCCCUGCUCAGUGGGGAGACUGCUUCUCCCUCUUCCUCUGUCCCUCUACCCCACUCAUUCCCUCUCUCUCUUUCUCUUGAAUAAAUAAAUAAAGUCUUUUUUAAAAAUUGCAAGAUACACCAAUGGGUUUUAAUUAAUAGAAUACAGAAAGUUCACUGAUAUGGUUUCAAAUACCACAUUACAAUUCACCUUGAAGUAACUACUAUUUGUCAUGUUUUGGUGUACAAUCAAAGAAGAAUACCCAAAAUUAUCUGAAAAGAUAUUAAAAUUUCUGUUGCUUUUUCCAAUUACUUAUCUAUAUGAGGACAGAUUUUCUCUAAAUACUUCAGUCAAAACAUAUCAAAACUAGAAACAGAUAAGAAAACCAAACUUUUAAAAAAUAUAUUUUAUUUAUUUAUUUAUUUAUCAGAGAGAGAGAGAGAGAGAGCAUGAUAGUGCACAAGUAGGCAGAGAGGCAGGCAGAGGAGGAGAGAGAAGCAGGCUCCCUGCUGGGCAAGGAGCCCGAUUCGGGACUGUAUCCCAGGACCCCGGGAUCAUGAGCUGAGCCGAAGGCAGUGGCCUAACCAACUGAGCCACUAAGGCGUCCCGAAAACCAAACUUUUAAAAAAAGAUUUUAUUUAUUUAUUUGACAGAGAGAGAGAGAUCAAGAGAGGGAACAUAAGCAGGGGGAGUGGGAGAGGGAGAAACAGGCUUCCUGCUGAGCAGGGAGCCCUGAUGUGGGGCCCCAUCCCAGGACCCUGGGAUCAUGACCUGAGCAGAAGGCAGAGGCUUAACGACUGAGCCUCCCAGGUGUCCCUAAAUCAUAGCUGUUAAUAUGCAGUGGGAAGGAGCACAGGGAAGUGGCAGGUGCCAGAUUGACCGCGAAAUGCCAUUGAUAGCUUUCCAAGCAGGGAAUGACAGGACUGAAUAAUCUGAGAGCCAUAGGCAAGACCUGGGAGAGGUUAGUUCCUGGAAAUCUAGCUAGGAGGUUAUCAUUAUUGUCUGGGAUAGAUUUGACAAGGAUUUGAAUGAAUGUAUCUAGAACAGGAAAAGAGGAAGAGACCUAGGUUUGAGAAACAUUUCUCAAGGUAGAAGUAGCAGGAUCUGAUCUGCGAUUGGAUGUGACGUGAGAGAAAGGAAAGAACUGGGAUAACUGUUAAGAUUUUUAUAAUGGGAGACUGGGUAACUAGUAAGCUUUUAACAAGAUAAAGGUAUAUAUUUGGAAAACAAGAUUUCUUGGGGAAGACGACAUGUAUUGAACCUGAAGUGCCAGUGAGAAUCGUAGGUUGGGCAUCUAAGAGGCUGGCAGAAUGUAGAGUUGAGGCUCCAGAAAUUGUCAAGGCUACAGAUAUUGUUUCAGGAGUUAUUAAGAGAUAGAUGACAGUGUAAAAGGGAGAAAAAUAACAUUUAUUGUCUGCUGGAUGCUGUAACUCUAGUAGAUGUGCGUGGGUAGGGCACUUGUAAUUGAUGGCCCCAGUUUUCUCUGAAAGGGAAACCAUAUGUGAGCGCAUGAAGGCGUGGGCAGCCACUGGACUUCAUGAGAAGAUGUUGGGACUGUACUUUGGGACUUUAACCACUUAAAAAUUCACACAGACAACAUGCCUGUCUUGGCUGAGGUUCUUUCCUUCUGAUGAAAUGGAAAAUUCAUUGGAAAGGAUAGAAAUUCCUUUCUACUUUACCUUAAAAUUUAGCUAUCUUCACAGAGCAUAGGCUUUGAUACCAGAGAGACUGAAUUUAAUUUGCUUCUGUCCCUUAGUAGUUGAGUGAUUCUGGUCAAGUAAUUUAACCUUCUGGUCUGUUUCUGUUAUCUAUAAGAUGAGUAAAAUAGCUACCUUGCUGGGUUAUUAUGAAGAUUAAGUGAAUAAAGAGGGUAAAACAAUUAUUAUCCCAGUCCUUUACACAUAAUAAGUACUGAACAGAUGGUACCGUCAUCAGCAUCAUCUUCCUCCCAACAACUCUGUGAGAUAAAUAUUAAUUAUCCCCAUUUUUACAGAAGAAGAAAAUUAAACGUAGAUUCAGAAACUUAUCUACAGUCAACUUUUAUUAUUAUUUUUAUUUUUAUUUUAUUU
Molecule: long non-coding RNA, 5300 nt
Organism: Mustela lutreola (European mink)
Lineage: Eukaryota; Metazoa; Chordata; Mammalia; Carnivora; Mustelidae
Exons: 4
Source: RefSeq, a predicted model, not a curated record